Molecule: ribosomal RNA, 468 nt
Filed under: uncultured bacterium
Lineage: Bacteria
Description: partial 16S ribosomal RNA
Rfam family: Bacterial small subunit ribosomal RNA
Source: RNAcentral
GAUGAACGCUGGCGGCGUGCUUAACACAUGCAAGUCGAACGGUGAAGGCGGAGCUUGCUCUGCUGGAUCAGUGGCGAACGGGUGAGUAACACGUGAGCAAUCUGCCCCUGACUCUGGGAUAAGCGCUGGAAACGGCGUCUAAUACUGGAUACGAGCUGCGAAGGCAUCUUCAGCAGCUGUAAAGAACUUCGGUCAGGGAUGAGCUCGCGGCCUAUCAGCUUGUUGGUGAGGUAACGGCUCACCAAGGCGUCGACGGGUAGCCGGCCUGAGAGGGUGACCGGCCACACUGGGACUGAGACACGGCCCAGACUCCUACGGGAGGCAGCAGUGGGGAAUAUUGCACAAUGGGCGAAAGCCUGAUGCAGCAACGCCGCGUGAGGGACGACGGCCUUCGGGUUGUAAACCUCUUUUAGCAGGGAAGAAGCGAAAGUGACGGUACCUGCAGAAAAAGCGCCGGCUAACUACGUG